This is a long non-coding RNA of Salvia splendens (bonfire salvia), 358 nucleotides long. RefSeq lists it as uncharacterized. The transcript has 3 exons. The record is from RefSeq and is a predicted model, not a curated record. NCBI's taxonomy places the organism in Eukaryota, Viridiplantae, Streptophyta, Magnoliopsida, Lamiales, Lamiaceae.
UUCUUGUAACUGAUAAUCAAAAGCACAUCAAGGUUGUCUCUGAUGAAGCUAUUACAAAUGCUACUGGCUUGAUUGGCUCUAGUGAGAAAGACCUGAUUCUGACAAGAUCAGCCCGGAGGUCACCGAAUGUCUGACACAUGAACAGGCAAUCGACACAAGAGAUGCAUUGGCAAUGUUUAUUUAUGUGAGCAUGUUCGACUGGCUUGUGGAGAAGAUAAACUUGUCACUUCCUAGGGGAAAGGUGAUAUGGGGUGUUCAGUAAGGAUCAUUGAUAUGGAUUUGAGUAACUUAAGGUAUACAAUGAUUGAUAUUUUCCACAAUGUAUACUAUGGUGUGUUUUGUCCCACUUUAAAUAAUC